GAUAAACGCUGGCGGCGCGCCUAACACAUGCAAGUCGAACGAGAAGUUAACUUCUGAUUCCUUCGGGGAGAGGAAGUUGGCAGAAAGUGGCGAACGGGUGAGUAACGCGUGGGUAAUCUACCCUGUAAGUGGGGGAUAACCCUCCGAAAGGAGGGCUAAUACCGCAUAAUAUCUUCUCCCCAAAAGAGAAGAAGAUUAAAGAUGGCCUCUAUACUAUGCUAUCGCUUCAGAAUGAGCCUGCGUCCUAUUAGUUAGUUGGUGGGGUAAUGGCCUACCAAGACGACAAUGGGUAGCCGGUCUGAGAGGAUGAUCAGUCACACUGGAACUGAGACACGGUCCAGACCCCUACGGGAGGCAGCAGUGGGGAAUAUUGGACAAUGGGCGAAAGCCUGAUCCAGCCAUGCCGCGUGUGUGAAGAGGGUCUUCGGAUUGUAAAGCACUUUAAGUUGGGAGGAAGGGUAGUAACUUAAUACGUUGCUACUUGACGUACCG
Molecule: ribosomal RNA, 492 nt
Filed under: uncultured bacterium
Lineage: Bacteria
Description: bacterial SSU rRNA
Rfam family: Bacterial small subunit ribosomal RNA
Source: RNAcentral